AAUUUUGGACAAUGGGGGAAACCCUGAUCCAGCCAUGCCGCGUGUGUGAAGAAGGUCUUCGGAUUGUAAAGCACUUUAAGAUGGGAGGAAGGGCAGUAAGUUAAUACCUUGCUGUUUUGACGUUACCGACAGAAUAAGCACCGCAUGAUUCUGUGCCAGCAGCCGCGGUAAUACAGAGGGUGCAAGCGUUAAUCGGAAUUACUGGGCGUAAAGCGCGCGUAGGUGGUUCAGUAAGAUGGGUGUGAAAUCCCCGGGCUUAACCUGGGAACUGCUUUCAUAACUGCUGAGCUAGAGUAUGGCAGAGGGUGGUGGAAUUUCCUGUGUAGCGGUGAAAUGCGUAGAUAUAGGAAGGAACACCAGUGGCGAAGGCGACCACCUGGGCUAAUACUGACACUGAGGUGCGAAAGCGUGGGGAGCAAAC
RNAcentral lists this ribosomal RNA (421 nucleotides) under uncultured bacterium. RNAcentral's name for it is "partial 16S ribosomal RNA". It matches the Rfam family "Bacterial small subunit ribosomal RNA", at positions 360 to 773 of the family's 1533-position model. The record is from RNAcentral.